AAGUCGUAACAAGGUUUCCGUAGGUGAACCUGCGGAAGGAUCAUUAUUACGUAUCCACGUAUCAAACCAAAUCGUGAACUGUUUCCCGUCUGAUGAGGAUUUCUGCGAGUGUUUGAACAUUUAUUAAAUGCAUGGUGAGGACUCCUAGUCGCAAGACUGGUUUCUUCGAAAUGGCACUCGGUCCUGGUUGCCCUCUCGGGGCUUCAGCCAGCUCAUUAGAUGUGGUUGAAUUUCAAUCACUAUGCUAAAACUAUUAACCCCUUGUAAAACACUUGAACUAAAUUACGGAGACAAGACCCUUAACCAGGAAACUAUCUCUGAUAAACCGAAACUUAAGAAACAACUCUCAACAACGGAUAUCUUGGUUCUC
Molecule: unclassified non-coding RNA, 370 nt
Filed under: fungal sp.
Lineage: Eukaryota; Fungi
Description: partial internal transcribed spacer region
Rfam family: Eukaryotic small subunit ribosomal RNA (bases 1-46)
Source: RNAcentral